This 797-nucleotide non-coding RNA is filed under the name Anisocentropus maculatus. The record is from RNAcentral. Lineage: Eukaryota; Metazoa; Arthropoda; Insecta; Trichoptera; Calamoceratidae.
AAUUUUAUAGAUAAAACUAUUUUUUUUCUUAUAAAUAAAAAUUUUUUUUAAAUUAUUUUUUAAAUUAAUAAAUAAAUAUAUAAAAAUUUUUAUUAUUUUAAAAAAUUUUUAAAAAAUUAUUUUUAUAUUAAUAUUUAAUUUUAAAAAAUAAAAAAAUUUAUAUUUAGUUUAUAUAAAAUUAUAUUAAUAAAAUUUGUGCCAGCAAUUGCGGUUAAACAAAUAAUAUUUAAAAAAUAUUUUUAUUUAAAUUAAUAUUAUUUAUAAUAAUAAAAAAAUAUUAAUUUUUUAAGUAAAAUUUCAAAUUAAUUUAAAAUAUUAAAAAAUUAAAUUUAAAUUAAAAAAAAAUAAAUAAACUAGGAUUAGAUACCCUAUUAUAAUAUUUAAAUUUAUAAUAAAAAUAUUAAUAAUAAAAUUUUAAAUUAAAAAAAUUGAUAAUAUUUUAUUUAGAUUAGAGGAACCUGUUUAAUAAUUGAUACUCCACAAUGAAUUUUAUUUAAUUUAUAAAAUUUGUAUAUUGUUGUUAUAAAAAUCUUUUUUAUAAAAAAAAUUUUUAAAAUUUUUAAAAAUAAUUAUAUCAAAUCAAAAUGCAGUUUAUAAUUAAAAUUAAAAUGGGUUAUAAAAAAUUUAUUUUUGAAAAUAAAAAUUUAAAAUUUUUAUAAAAUUUAGAUUUAAAAAUAAUUUGAUUAUCUAAAUUAAAUGAAAAUAUUUUAAAAUAUAUACAUAUUGCCCGUCACUUUCAUUAUAAAUGAAAUAAGUCGUAACAAAGUAGAAAUAUUGGAAAAUAUUUCUAGAAUUAA